RNAcentral lists this ribosomal RNA (440 nucleotides) under uncultured bacterium. RNAcentral describes it as "partial 16S ribosomal RNA". It matches the Rfam family "Bacterial small subunit ribosomal RNA", at positions 338 to 795 of the family's 1533-position model. The record is from RNAcentral.
CCUACGGGUGGCAGCAGUGGGGAAUAUUGCACAAUGGGGGAAACCCUGAUGCAGCGACGCCGCGUGAAGGAAGAAGUAUUUCGGUAUGUAAACUUCUAUCAGCAGGGACGAAAAUGACGGUACCUGAAUAAGAAGCACCGGCUAACUACGUGCCAGCAGCCGCGGUAAUACGUAGGGGCGAAGCGUUAUCCGGAUUUACUGGGUUUAAAGGGAGCGUAGGCGGCGAUGGAAGUCAGAAGUGAAAGACCGGGGCUCAACGCCGGGACUGCUUUUGAAACUGUGUUGCUAGAGUGCAGUAGAGGUAAGGGGAAUUCGUAGUGUAGCGGUGAAAUGCUUAGAUAUUAGGAGGAACACCAGUGGCGAAGGCAGCUUACUGGACUGUAAAUGACGCUGAGGCUCGAAAGCGUGGGGAGCAAACAGGAUUAGAUACCCCUGUAGUC